UUGGAGGGCAAGUCUGGUGCCAGCAGCCGCGGUAAUUCCAGCUCCAAUAGCGUAUAUUAAAGUUGUUGCAGUUAAAAAGCUCGUAGUUGAAUUUCGGGGUCAGUAGGUUGGUCGUGCCUAUGGUAUGUACUGGCUUUACUGAUUCCUCCUUCUUGAAGAACUGUAAAGUCAUUAAUUUGGUGUUGCAGGGAAACAGGACUGUUACUUUGAAAAAAUUAGAGUGUUUAAAGCAAGCUAACGCUUGAAUACAUUAGCAUGGAAUAAUGAAAUAGGACGUUCGAUCCUAUUUUGUUGGUUUCUAGGAUUGACGUAAUGAUUAAUAGGGAUAGUUGGGGGCAUUAGUAUUCAAUUGUCAGAGGUGAAAUUCUUGGAUUUAUUGAAGACUAACUACUGCGAAAGCAUUUGCCAAGGAUGUUUUCAUUAAUCAAGAACGAAAGUUAGGGGAUCGAAGACGAUCAGAUACCGUCGUAGUCUUAACCAUAAAUUAUGCCGACUAGGGAUCGGAUGAUGUUAAUUUUCUAAUGACUCAUUCGGCGCCUUACGGGAAAC
Molecule: ribosomal RNA, 549 nt
Filed under: uncultured Glomeromycotina
Lineage: Eukaryota; Fungi; Glomeromycota
Description: SSU rRNA
Rfam family: Eukaryotic small subunit ribosomal RNA
Source: RNAcentral